RNAcentral lists this ribosomal RNA (363 nucleotides) under Triticum aestivum (bread wheat). Its description in RNAcentral is "partial small subunit ribosomal RNA". Lineage: Eukaryota; Viridiplantae; Streptophyta; Magnoliopsida; Poales; Poaceae. The record is from RNAcentral.
AUGCUUCGGAAGUUUUGGUGGGGAUCUAAGAAGGGAGAAAGGAAAACUGCAUGGGUCUCGUGGGAAGUCAUGACGCAACCGAAGUUUAUGGGAGGCAUGGGCUUUCGCGACAUCGAGCUUUUUAACUUAGCCUUGCUUGCCCGUCAAGCCUGGCGCCUACUGCAAGAGCCUGAUUCGCUAAGUGCGCGCAUAUUAAAGGCUGUAUAUUAUCCUAACUGCACCGUUCUGGAAGCUGGGCUGGGAAGUAAUCCGUCUCAAGUGUGGCGCUCCAUUCAUGAGGGGUGUGACACCCUGAAAUUGGGAAUCAUCAAAAGGAUCGGCACCGGAAGUGAGACGAGCAUUUGGCAGGACAACUGGAUACCG